RNAcentral lists this unclassified non-coding RNA (1433 nucleotides) under Hevea brasiliensis (rubber tree). The record is from RNAcentral. Lineage: Eukaryota; Viridiplantae; Streptophyta; Magnoliopsida; Malpighiales; Euphorbiaceae.
UGUGCAGGGAACUUUAGGAUACUUAGACCCCGAGUACUUAUAGACAAGCCAAUUGACUGAUAAAAGUUAUUAGAAUUAUGACUCAAAAUCCUAAUAGGAUUUGGAGAGAGAUCUUUUCCUAAUUUGAGUGGGAGAAAUAUUCUUCAAUAGGAUGGAUAAAUAUUUCUUAUAAUGAGUUGAACUCUUAUUUUAGUAUUAUUCCUAAAUUGAGUGGGACUCAUAAUCAGAUUAGGAUUGAGGAAUUAACAUUAUAAAUAGGAAAAUGGUGAAAAUUUUAUUUGGCUUUGCCCAUGGAGAGUGAUUUUGCCCAUUGAAGAGAGUAGCUUUCAACUCAUGGAGUAGGGUUGUUGCCCAUUGUAUUGAAGGGCUUUGCCAAUUGCUAAGGAUUUAGCUUUGCCCGUUAACGAGGGACAUAGAAACUAUGCAUAUCUUGUUUUAGGUUGAGCACAAAAAUCUGAAGCAGAAAAAAUGAUACACUGCUUAUACUGCCACUACGAAAAGAAUCUCUGUCAAUUAGUAAGUUAACUACAGCAAGAUAAAUAGAUUCAAUAAAUUUUUACAAACCUCCAACAUCAACACACAAAAGGAGUAUCUACAUCAAUUGAGAAUCAAUACAAUGCCAAGCUCACUCUUGGCAUAAGUCCACAUCAGUUUUUAUUGCAAAAAAAUAUUGAAGUAAUUGAGAGAAGCUACAAAAUUUUUAUUUUGAGGACAGUGCAAAUCAAAAUUUCCUUCCAUUAAAAGUAGGGAGAAACACUAUAUUAAAUAUAGUGAUGGAAUACUGUACUGAUUGCAUGGCUUUUCAAGUUAAAUAUAAUAGUUUCCAUAACGGGACUCCCAUACUGUGUUUCUACCAACAUAACAAUGGAAGGAACGACUCUUUGACAACUUUUAUUUCUGUACUUUAUUUCUAUAAUUAUUAAUCACCAAAGCUUAGUGCCUUCACCCCAACUAAGCAUCUUAUGUGGCCCGUAAACCACAGGCAAAUUGGAAUCUUAGCACCAAGAAUAUAACCUUUGCCUUCAACACCUUAUAAACGACCUUUGCCUUCAAUAUCUUAUAAACUAUCCUUCUUUUUUGAGAUAACAUAGCAUUUCAUUGUUAUAAAUGAGACUUUUGGCAAAGGUAAUGUUAAAUCUGUAAUUGUAGCAGGCAAUACCCAUAAACUUAGAGCCCGUUUGAUAUUCAUGCUGUUUUUGUUUUCUGGUGGUGGUUGUCCACAUUAAAAAAAUUAUGUGUGAAAAACAAGUUGAUGAAACAAGUAAAACCACUUUUUAUGGUUUUCACUUGUCAUAGCAACCUGUUUUCCUCUUUAAGAUGUCAACAAAAGCAAACAUUUUUCACUAACAGCUAAUAAAAAACACAGAAAACAAAAUAAUAGAAUUAACCACAGAAAGAUCCUCACCGGUGUGCUUUGAGAAGUCUGAACAUCA